RNAcentral lists this ribosomal RNA (376 nucleotides) under uncultured bacterium. RNAcentral's name for it is "bacterial SSU rRNA". It matches the Rfam family "Bacterial small subunit ribosomal RNA", at positions 28 to 414 of the family's 1533-position model. The record is from RNAcentral.
GACGAGCGCUGGCGGUGUGCUUCACACAUGCAAGUCGAACGAGGUAGCAAUACCUAGUGGCGGACGGGUGAGUAACACGUGGGAAUCUGCCUUUAGAUGGGGAAUAACGGGCCGAAAGGCUCGCUAAUACCGCAUAUGUGUACGCCUCGACAGGGGGGUACAUGAAAGGAGCAAUCCGUCUGAAGAUGAGCCCGCGCCCGAUUAGCUAGUUGGUAGGGUAAAAGCCUACCAAGGCGACGAUCGGUAGCUGGUCUGAGAGGACGAUCAGCCACAAUGGGACUGAGACACGGCCCAUACUCCUACGGGAGGCAGCAGUGGGGAAUUUUGUGCAAGUGGGCGAAAGCCUGACACAGCGACACCGCGUGAGCGAAGAACG